Molecule: ribosomal RNA, 497 nt
Filed under: uncultured bacterium
Lineage: Bacteria
Description: partial 16S ribosomal RNA
Rfam family: Bacterial small subunit ribosomal RNA
Source: RNAcentral
AAUGAACGCUGGCGGCGUGCCUAAUACAUGCAAGUCGAACGAACAGACGAGGAGGUUGCUCCUCUGACGUUAGCGGCGGACGGGUGAGUAACACGUGGAUAACCUACCUAGAUGGCGGGGAUAACUUAGGGAAACCGGAAGUAAUACCGGAGAAUAGUGUGAAGAGCAUGGUUCAAUAGUUAAAGACGGUUUUCCUGUGGCUGAGCGCAGAAUCCAGGCCGGAUUAGCUAGUUGGUAAGGUAACGGCUUACCAAGGCGACGAUGCGUAGCUGAGCUGAGAGGAUGAUCGGCCACACUGGAACUGAGACACGGUCCAGACUCCUACGGGAGGCAGCAGUAGGGAAUAUUGCACAAUGGGCGCAAGCCUGAUGCAGCCAUGCCGCGUGUAUGAAGAAGGCCUUCGGAUUGUAAAGUACUUUCAUCGGGGAGGAAGGGAGUAAAGUUAAUACCUGUACUCAUUGACGUUACCCACAGAAAAAGCACCGGCUAACUCCGUG